Molecule: non-coding RNA, 80 nt
Organism: Pseudonaja textilis
Lineage: Eukaryota; Metazoa; Chordata; Lepidosauria; Squamata; Elapidae
Source: RefSeq, a predicted model, not a curated record
UAAAUCUCCCAAAGAGUGCUAUAAAACACUAUGGGCAGGUAUAUAAGUCUAAGUGCUGUUGCUGUUGCUAAUGUUAUUCU